Molecule: long non-coding RNA, 1777 nt
Organism: Manis pentadactyla (Chinese pangolin)
Lineage: Eukaryota; Metazoa; Chordata; Mammalia; Pholidota; Manidae
Exons: 5
Source: RefSeq, a predicted model, not a curated record
ACCGGGGUAGCUGACGCCUUUAAGGGAAUGGGGGCGACCACACUGGGGCUGCUCUUCUGUAUCGGUAAACAGAGCCUACAUUUAGGACUCAAACUCUGCCAGGGGACCCCCCUUUCCCCUCCAGUAUUUCAAACAGAAACUAGCCAUUGAGUAAACACAUGUUGCUGUUGGUUUAUUUUGGUUGAGAGUUAGGACUCCAGCAGGACUGCCUUGAUGAAAUUACCCUUUCUAAAGACCAGAUGCUGUUUGGCUAAUCUCAAGAAAUGCAUGACUUUCCCCGCCCUUUCCUCUGGGUCUAGUUUUUCGUGUGUGUGUGUCCCGUUGUUUUGAAGUAAACGAACUGUCGCAUGCCACAGUAAGACUUUCCCCGUCACUUAAAAAAAAACACCCAAACCGUAAAUAAACCUAGUAGAGACGUCAGCGACCGAGUCGGCCUCCAGUUUCGGCUCUGUGCUGUUUUUGUUUUGUAACCUCGACGGAGAGGCCGGCAGAAGCUCCGUGGAAAUACGGCUGAACCCAAGGACGACUAAGGGAGCCAAACGAGGACACACUGCAAACGGCAAAGGAGAAACGUGGUCCUGGGGGGAACCACCAGCCUGGAAGCUCCCCCGCAGCUCGCCGGAGCGCAGUUCCUUCCCCCGCCUGGCGGGAGAUGAAUCAGCGGCUGAGCCCGAGUGCGGGACAGAUGUGCGGCCGGGAGGGGCGCCUGUUGGAGCGCCGCUCGGUGCCUGCGUUUGAAGGCACACUUAGUUCCAUUUGGGGUUUUAUGUUCUGAAGCUGCCUCAAGGCCAAGAAAAGAAACAGUUGCAUAAAUGACAUGUUCUGAGCCUAUUGCUUGCUGACUGCAUCUGCCCUGCAUCCGCCACUCUGAGACUCCCCAGUGACCUUGUCUUUCCUGGACGCCAGUGUCUUUCCCUUGGUUUAUUCCUUUGUCUUGCUGAGGCAUAUUGCCAGGUAACUUCCUAAGAAAGGAUACAUGGGAAGUGAAAUUUCUGCAUCCUUGCAUGUUGGGAUCUGCAGGACAUCUGACUUCCUCUCAGGUUCCAUUGAAAAAAUGGAAAAGAAGCCCCAAAAGAUGAUUAAAUGGCACGAGUGAUGGGAAGCAAAGAAAGAUCUCGGGCUGCAAAGUUUGAAGUUAUGAUGGAAGAUAGUAGAAGAGAUUACAGGGAAAAGAAUGGGGGGUAAUACCACAGCCCAAGUAUCAAAUGUAAGAUAUUUUUCCUGAGGAAGCAUCUAAGCUCACAGUCAACAAAUCCAUACAUCACUUGCGGGGAGAGAGUUACAUCAUGCCAGUUCCUGAUGCAAGCCUCACCUUUGAGAGGACUGGGAGCUUCCACUUCCUUCCUCUUGCAGCUCCUGGAACCCAGCUAGCUACCUGUCAGGACCCAGUGGCCACCCACGACAAGCAUAAGCCACAUGGAAAGGCCAAGUGAAGGUGCUCCAGUCAACAAUACACUCUGAUUUACAAAUAUUGAUAGCUGAAAAGGGAAGAGGACGUGAAUGGUAAAGUAUAUAAAGCCCUCAUCUUUAACAGAAGGAUCAAGACACAGCAAUAUAAUUUAAAGUGUUAACUGCAACCACCAGAAAAACAAAACACAACUUUUGAAGUUAUUUUAGCCAAAUGGGACUAAAGGUUGGAAUAAUUCAGAAGACAACUUACAUUUUUUAUUUUAGACUCUUGUAGUUUUUUUGUCAUGUAAACUAUUUCCUUAUUUUUUUAAACUUAGUUAAAAUGUUAUAUUUAAUGCAUAAAAAAUAAAAGAACUAUAAGAAAAUA